GCAUAUCAAUAAGCGGAGGAAAAGAAACUAACAAGGAUUCCCCUAGUAACGGCGAGUGAAGCGGGAAGAGCUCAAGCUUAAAAUCUCUAUGCUAGUUUAGCAUGGCGAAUUGUAGUCUAUUGAGGCUGUUGUCAGCACAGUCAUUUGGGACAAGUCCCUUGGAAGAGGGCAGCAUAGAGGGUGAUACUCCCGUCUCUGCUCAGAUGACUUGUGUGUACGAUACGCUUUCUUUGAGUCGAGUUGCUUGGGAAUGCAGCUCAAAGUAGGUGGUAAAUUCCAUCUAAAGCUAAAUAUAGGUGCGAGACCGAUAGCGAACAAGUACCGUGAGGGAAAGAUGAAAAGAACUUUGAAAAGAGAGUUAAAGAGUACCUGAAACUGUUGAAAGGGAAUCGUAUCGUUUCCAGUGUCUUAUCCUUUGCAUACUUCAUUGGCGAACUUGUUUGCUGGUGCCCUGUGCAUUGGUGUGACGUCAAACUCAGUUUGUAUGCUGCGGGAAAUGGUUAUUGAGGAGGUACUUUACUUCGGUAAACGUUAUAGCUCGAUAACUAGUAGUCGUGGUUGAGACUGAGGUGCCUACAACAUGCUUUGAAGUCUUUUUGGGUCUCGUUUGAAUAAUUGUUUGGAUAGCUUGCUAUGCUUGCGGUUUUUUUGGGCGAUUGAUGCGAAUUGUAACUUCCUGCUGUUCGGGAGUUUGGCGAAAUGGAGCGAUAUGUCCCGUCUUGAAACACGGACC
RNAcentral lists this ribosomal RNA (733 nucleotides) under Atkinsiella dubia. Its description in RNAcentral is "eukaryotic LSU rRNA". It matches the Rfam family "Eukaryotic large subunit ribosomal RNA", at positions 38 to 667 of the family's 3401-position model. Lineage: Eukaryota; Oomycota; Saprolegniomycetes; Leptomitales. The record is from RNAcentral.